CCCUACGGGACGCAGCAGUGGGGAAUAUUGCACAAUGGGGGAAACCCUGAUGCAGCGACGCCGCGUGAGUGAAGAAGUAAUUCGUUAUGUAAAGCUCUAUCAGCAGGGAAGAAACAGACGGUACCUGACUAAGAAGCCCCGGCUAACUACGUGCCAGCAGCCGCGGUAAUACGUAGGGGGCAAGCGUUAUCCGGAUUUACUGGGUGUAAAGGGAGCGUAGACGGAGGAGCAAGUCUGAUGUGAAAAUCCGGGGCCCAACCCCGGAACUGCAUUGGAAACUGUUUAUCUAGAGUGUCGGAGAGGCA
RNAcentral lists this ribosomal RNA (305 nucleotides) under uncultured bacterium. Its description in RNAcentral is "bacterial SSU rRNA". It matches the Rfam family "Bacterial small subunit ribosomal RNA", at positions 337 to 659 of the family's 1533-position model. The record is from RNAcentral.